RNAcentral lists this microRNA precursor (72 nucleotides) under Drosophila virilis. RNAcentral's name for it is "microRNA dvi-mir-1007 precursor". The record is from miRBase by way of RNAcentral. Lineage: Eukaryota; Metazoa; Arthropoda; Insecta; Diptera; Drosophilidae.
GUAAGCAGUGCUUGAGCUUAUUCUCUGGCUUCAUUUGACCAUUUUCUGAUAAGCUCAAUUAACUGUUUGCAG